This 437-nucleotide ribosomal RNA is filed under the name uncultured Chromatiales bacterium. RNAcentral describes it as "bacterial SSU rRNA". It matches the Rfam family "Bacterial small subunit ribosomal RNA", at positions 1085 to 1525 of the family's 1533-position model. Lineage: Bacteria; Pseudomonadati; Pseudomonadota; Gammaproteobacteria; Chromatiales. The record is from RNAcentral.
UCCGUACGAGCGCACCCUUGUCCCUAGUUGCCAGCACUUCGGGUGGGAACUCUAGGGAGACUGCCGGUGAUAAACCGGAGGAAGGUGGGGAUGACGUCAAGUCAUCAUGGCCCUUAUGGGGAGGGCUACACACGUGCUACAAUGGCCGGUACAGAGGGCUGCGAAGCCGCGAGGUGGAGCGAAUCUCAGAAAACCGGUCGUAGUCCGGAUUGCAGUCUGCAACUCGACUGCAUGAAGCCGGAAUCGCUAGUAAUCGCGGAUCAGAACGCCGCGGUGAAUACGUUCCCGGGCCUUGUACACACCGCCCGUCACACCAUGGGAGUGGGCUGUACCAGAAGUAGGUUGUCUAACCUUCGGGAGGACGCUUACCACGGUGUGGUUCAUGACUGGGGUGAAGUCGUAACAAGGUAGCCCUAGGGGAACCUGGGGCUGGAUCA